Molecule: ribosomal RNA, 374 nt
Filed under: uncultured prokaryote
Description: bacterial SSU rRNA
Rfam family: Bacterial small subunit ribosomal RNA
Source: RNAcentral
UACGGAGGGUGCAAGCGUUAAUCGGAAUUACUGGGCGUAAAGGGUGCGUAGGUGGUUAAUUAAGUUAGAUGUAAAAACCCUGGGCUUAACCUGGGACUGAGAUUUAAUACUGGUUAACUUGAGUAUGGGAGAGGGUAGUGGAAUUUCCGGUGUAGCGGUGAAAUGCGUAGAGAUCGGAAGGAACACCAGUGGCGAAGGCGGCUACCUGGCCUAAUACUGACACUGAGGCACGAAAGCGUGGGGAGCAAACAGGAUUAGAUACCCUGGUAGUCCACGCUGUAAACGAUGUCAACUAGCCGUUGGUCAUAUAAAAGUGAUGAGUGGCGCAGCAAACGCGAUAAGUUGACCGCCUGGGGAGUACGGUCGCAAGAUUA